Molecule: unclassified non-coding RNA, 352 nt
Filed under: Hevea brasiliensis (rubber tree)
Lineage: Eukaryota; Viridiplantae; Streptophyta; Magnoliopsida; Malpighiales; Euphorbiaceae
Source: RNAcentral
GUUCGAUAAGAAAAAUAAUUUCAAUCUAUGACAAAGUACCGUGAAGGAUGUCCUUGUGCGACAAGGAUUAAUCAAAGCAUUGAAUGAGAAACAACCGGCGGCUAUGAAAGACGAUGUUUGGGAGGAGUUUCAACAAAGGAUAGUAAGUAUAAUUAAAUUGAAAUUAACCCCGAAUGUGAAGUAUAACGUUUUGGAGGAGGCUUCAACGGUUGUUUGGUAAAAGAAAUUGGAUAAUUUAUACAUAUCAAAAUUACUCACAAAUCGUUUGUAUUGUAAAAAGAAGUUGUAUCAACUCAGAAUGGACGAAAGUAUUGAUGUGAGGAAUCACUUUAAUAUUUUUAAUAAAUUAAUU